GAUGAAGAACGUAGUGAAAUGCGAUAAGUAAUGCGAAUUGCAGAAUUCAGUGAAUCAUCGAAUCUUUGAACGCACAUUGCGCCCCCUGGUAUUCCGGGGGGCAUGCCUGUCCGAGCGUCAUUACAACCCUCAAGCUCAGCUUGGUGUUGGGCCCCGCCGCCCCGGCGGGCCCUAAAGUCAGUGGCGGUGCCGUCCGGCUCCGAGCGUAGUAAUUCUUCUCGCUCUGGAGGUCCGGUCGUGUGCUCGCCAGCAACCCCCAAUUUUUUUCAGGUUGACCUCGGAUCAGGUAGGGAUACCCGCUGAACUUAAGCAUAUCAAUAAGCGGAGGA
Molecule: unclassified non-coding RNA, 329 nt
Filed under: soil metagenome
Description: partial contains 5.8S ribosomal RNA, internal transcribed spacer 2, and large subunit ribosomal RNA
Rfam family: 5.8S ribosomal RNA (bases 1-120)
Source: RNAcentral